CGCGUAGGCGGCUUGAUAAGUCAAAGGUGAAAUCCCUCGGCUCAACUGAGGAACUGCCUUUGAAACUGCCAGGCUCGAGGCCGGGAGGGGGUAGCGGAAUUCCCAGUGUAGCGGUGAAAUGCGUAGAUACUGGGAGGAACACCGGUGGCGAAGGCGGCUACCUGGACCGGUUCUGACGCUGAUGCGCGAAAGCGUGGGUAGCAAACA
RNAcentral lists this ribosomal RNA (207 nucleotides) under uncultured bacterium. RNAcentral's name for it is "partial 16S ribosomal RNA". It matches the Rfam family "Bacterial small subunit ribosomal RNA", at positions 568 to 774 of the family's 1533-position model. The record is from RNAcentral.